Molecule: transfer RNA, 69 nt
Filed under: Terriglobia bacterium
Lineage: Bacteria; Pseudomonadati; Acidobacteriota; Terriglobia
Description: Solibacteres bacterium tRNA-Val
Rfam family: tRNA
About the family: Transfer RNA (tRNA) molecules are approximately 80 nucleotides in length. Their secondary structure includes four short double-helical elements and three loops (D, anti-codon, and T loops). Further hydrogen bonds mediate the characteristic L-shaped molecular structure. tRNAs have two regions of fundamental functional importance: the anti-codon, which is responsible for specific mRNA codon recognition, and the 3' end, to which the tRNAs corresponding amino acid is attached (by aminoacyl-tRNA synthetases). tRNAs cope with the degeneracy of the genetic code in two manners: having more than one tRNA (with a specific anti-codon) for a particular amino acid; and 'wobble' base-pairing, i.e. permitting non-standard base-pairing at the 3rd anti-codon position.
Source: RNAcentral
GCGCGUAGCUCAGUUGGUUAGAGCGCCUGCUUCACACGCAGGAGGUCACAGGUUCGAGUCCUGUCGCGC